AUGUUUUUUCUUUUCUUCAGGACAGUUGACCAGAAGCUUAAAAGUGGGGACAGGGAUACCUUUUCAAGUAACAGUGUGAUGGAAUGCAAGCAAGAACCUGAAAUGUUUUCUUUGAAUGUGGAUUCCUCUAUUCCAAUAAGGCCUGGUUGUCACCAGCUCUAUUUCACCACAAAGGCAUAACGCUCACUUCUCCAUGAAAUGGGAGUGUCAGAUCUAAACUCUGGCAGUUGUGACUUAAAACAGUAAAGCAGCAUUGGAAAUUCCUGAGAUAGGUGAGUUUCUCCUGGGUUGUUUGGUGUUUCUGGGAGCGUGGGUAUCUUGUGAGAGAGGAGCCAGCAUGCCUGAAAUCGUAAUUCUUUGUUUA
RNAcentral lists this long non-coding RNA (364 nucleotides) under Anas platyrhynchos platyrhynchos (common mallard). Its description in RNAcentral is "lncRNA (ENSAPLG00000025677.1)". Lineage: Eukaryota; Metazoa; Chordata; Aves; Anseriformes; Anatidae. The record is from RNAcentral.